CCUACGGUGCGCAGCAGUCGAGAAUCAUUCACAAUGGGGGAAACCCUGAUGGUGCGACGCCGCGUGGGGGAAUGAAGGUCUUCGGAUUGUAAACCCCUGUCAUGUGGGAGCAAAUUAAAAAGAUAGUACCACAAGAGGAAGAGACGGCUAACUCUGUGCCAGCAGCCGCGGUAAUACAGAGGUCUCACGCGUUGUUCGGAAUCACUGGGCGUAAAGCGUGCGUAGGCUGUUUCGUAAGUCGUGUGUGAAAGGCGCGGGCUCAACCCGCGGACGGCACAUGAUACUGCGAGACUAGAGUAAUGGAGGGGGAACCGGAAUUCUCGGUGUAGCAGUGAAAUGCGUAGAUAUCGAGAGGAACACUCGUGGCGAAGGCGGGUUCCUGGACAUUAACUGACGCUGAGGCACGAAGGCCAGGGGAGCGAAAGGGAUUAGAUACCCCAGUAGUC
RNAcentral lists this ribosomal RNA (446 nucleotides) under uncultured bacterium. Its description in RNAcentral is "partial 16S ribosomal RNA". It matches the Rfam family "Bacterial small subunit ribosomal RNA", at positions 338 to 795 of the family's 1533-position model. The record is from RNAcentral.